UAGGGAAUCUUCCGCAAUGGACGCAAGUCUGACGGAGCAACGCCGCGUGAGUGAAGAAGGAUUUCGGUUCGUAAAACUCUGUUGUUAGAGAAGAACAGCGCAUAGAGUAACUGUUAUGCGUGUGACGGUAUCUAACCAGAAAGCCACGGCUAACUACGUGCCAGCAGCCGCGGUAAUACGUAGGUAGCAAGCGUUGUCCGGAUUUAUUGGGCGUAAAGCGAGCGCAGGCGGUCAAUUAAGUCUGAUGUGAAAGCCCCCGGCUCAACCGGGGAGGGUCAUUGGAAACUGGUUGACUUGAGUGCAGAAGAGGAGAGUGGAAUUCCAUGUGUAGCGGUGAAAUGCGUAGAUAUAUGGAGGAACACCAGUGGCGAAGGCGACUCUCUGGUCUGUAACUGACGCUGAGGUUCGAAAGCGUGGGUAGCAAACAGG
RNAcentral lists this ribosomal RNA (429 nucleotides) under Bacteroidota bacterium. RNAcentral's name for it is "Bacteroidetes bacterium partial 16S ribosomal RNA". It matches the Rfam family "Bacterial small subunit ribosomal RNA", at positions 355 to 776 of the family's 1533-position model. Lineage: Bacteria; Pseudomonadati; Bacteroidota. The record is from RNAcentral.